AAGGUAAGAGAGCUUGCUCUCUGAUUCAGCGGCGGACGGGUGAGUAAUGCCUAGGAAUCUGCCUGGUAGUGGGGGACAACGUUUCGAAAGGAACGCUAAUACCGCAUACGUCCUACGGGAGAAAGCACCGGACCUUCGGGCCUUGCGCUAUCAGAUGAGUUUAGGUCGGAUUAGCUAGUUGGUGAGGUAAUGGCUCACCAAGGCGACGAUCCGUAACUGGUCUGAGAGGAUGAUCAGUCACACUGGAACUGAGACACGGUCCAGACUCCUACGGGAGGCAGCAGUGGGGAAUAUUGGACAAUGGGCGAAAGCCUGAUCCAGCCAUGCCGCGUGUGUGAAGAAGGUCUUCGGAUUGUAAAGCACUUUAAGUUGGGAGGAAGGGCAGUAAGUUAAUACCUUGCUGUUUUGACGUUACCGACAGAAUAAGCACCGGCUAACUCUGUGCCAGCAGCCGCGGUAAUACAGAGGGUGCAAGCGUUAAUCGGAAUUACUGGGCGUAAAGCGCGCGUAGGUGGUUCGUUAAGUUGGAUGUGAAAUCCCCGGGCUCAACCUGGGAACUGCAUCCAAAACUGGCGAGCUAGAGUAUGGUAGAGGGUGGUGGAAUUUCCUGUGUAGCGGUGAAAUGCGUAGAUAUAGGAAGGAACACCAGUGGCGAAGGCAAAACCUGCAUGCAA
Molecule: ribosomal RNA, 674 nt
Filed under: Pseudomonas sp. CB11(2010)
Lineage: Bacteria; Pseudomonadati; Pseudomonadota; Gammaproteobacteria; Pseudomonadales; Pseudomonadaceae
Description: bacterial SSU rRNA
Rfam family: Bacterial small subunit ribosomal RNA
Source: RNAcentral